RNA transcript from Ctenopharyngodon idella (grass carp), 4725 nucleotides. RefSeq lists it as uncharacterized. NCBI's taxonomy places the organism in Eukaryota, Metazoa, Chordata, Actinopteri, Cypriniformes, Xenocyprididae. The transcript has 6 exons. The record is from RefSeq and is a predicted model, not a curated record.
UCUGUAAGACCCUCACCAGUGUCAGUUACUCACAGUCACUCACAGAGAUGGAGAGGUCAAGACUUGCUCUCGUCACACUCAUGUGUGUUUUGUUCUUCAGUCAGAACAGAAUCUAUGGAGCAGAAGUGGAGAUGAAAGUCAGACCUGGAGACAACAUCACUCUCUACUGUGAUCGCUCUUUAACUCUUGGUUUCCUCUUUGUAUGGAUAAGAAACUGCUCUCAUGAAAAUCAACCCUCUCUCGAAAUGGAUCAUACAAAACGGCUCCAGAACACAUUUCAGCGUUUCAGCUCUGUCUACAACCGCUCCAGUAAUUCUUAUGAUCUACAUAUUACUAACAUCAGUGUCUCUGAUCUGGGACUGUAUUACUGUGCAGAAGUAGAGAAUAAGGUACAUAAGGAUGAAAAAGGCAUCAUCUACUCAACUAAAGUGUACUAUUAUGGAAACCGAACAACUCAUCUCUCUCUUGCAGAGCAAAUAAGUUCUGGACCCUUGAACAUUACCUCCACUCCUCGUGUAUCAGACUGUGUUCUCUGCUGGACGCUGCUGUUCAGUGUGUGUCCGGUGUGUGUUCUCCUCUCCUCACUCCUGUCCUCCAUCUGUGUGUACUGCCUCUGUCAGAGGAAAACUGCAGAUUCUGAGCAGAAUGCAGAGAUACUCACUGCAAAUGUUAUUAAGGGGGAUCCUACAGAGAAACAUCAGUGUGAGAUGAGUAAAACUGGAAAGAUCUGCCUCCACACUGAAGUCUGUUAUAGACUGCUGACAUCUUCAUAUCCCUAUGCCAAGAUGUGAUUCUACUGCUCAGUUUAAACAACUUACUGAAAAUUUGCUGCUUUUUAUUGCUCUCUUUUUGUACUCAGCAACGUCAACUAUGAUUUCUGAACGCUUUCGCCACAUUUAGUUCACAUGCACAAACAAACUUGCAGCACAUUUUUCUUUAUAAUUGUAUUUACAUAUACAGUUAUGCAUGAUACACAAAUAUAAAAUAUUUCAUAUUUUCAAAUAAAAUACUAACGAAAUAAAAAAAAACAAAGUAACAUUUUAUUUGCACAUUUUCUGGUUGCAAAUUAUAUUUUCGUAAUGAAAUAACAUUGUUUUUUAAAAACAACAUUAAUUUGAAAUCUUUUAUUGGAUUAAACAAAAUAAACAAAAACAAUAAUAACUAAUUACAAAUAAUAACUGUUUAUUAGCCAGUUUGUUUUUUUGUCAAUAUGUCCUUCUGUGGUAUAAAAGCUAAAUUUAGACUGAUCAGUAAAACAUUUAAAGUGAGUGACAACAACUUAAAUGCAGAUCUGUUUUCCUUUUCAGUCCAGAAUCAUAAUUACUUUCUUUGUCUUAAAAGGGACGAGAAAAAUAAGAUUAAACUUUACAUUCUCUGUUCUCACACCUAUCAACAGGAUGUUGGGUUUCCUGUGUACGUUAUACCGCUCAUUCUUUCUUUUUUCUUUUUCUCUCUUCUUGUGUGCAGCUAUAAGUACCAACUACAAAUGUUUCCACUGGACUCUAUCAACAGAAAUGCACAAAUUGACAGAACCACAAAUAGUUUUCAGUAGAAUUAAAAUAUGAUCUAUUCCAUGUGCAUAAAGCUAAUGCACACAUGUAAUAAAGUAUAAAACAAAAAUAAACAGUAUUUUUUGGACCAAAUAAGUUUUGUUGCAUUACAACAAUCAAAUAAAUAAAAAAUAAAUAAAAAUGAGUGAAGAGAUAGUUGCUGUUGUCGUGACAGCUGUUUAUUUUACAAUUUAUUAUUUCAUAUUUUUAUUUAUAAUUUCAUGUUUCACUUCAUAAUUUGAACAGAUUUCAUAGCAUUAAUCCAGUUUAUAUUUCUGUGCAGCAUUAAACAAAGACAUCAUUUCGUAUUGAUUAAUUUAAAAACAGUCAAUUGGAUAAGAAAUAAUUAUAAAAGGAAAGCAAAACUCAAUGUCUCCAUCUAGUGGCUAAUACUCUGAACCUUUCAGGUGCAGUCAAUCAUUUCUCAUUACAGUUUUUCUCAAUCACUUUGGCUCAAUUCUUAAUUGAGACUUCUUUUUUUUUUUUUUUCUCUCCAAACAAUAAGUUUAGAUGUCUGAACAAUUAGUUUCUUGUUCACAUCAGAUUUGGAUUUCUUAUUGAUUUAAGCAAAAGUACAAUUGUCUACAAUUUGCACAGUAUCUAAAUGCACAUGGCUGGUCUAGACUGAUGAGUUGAUUCUCAGUGAAAUGGUUAAAUUCUUCACAACUUCUAAACAUUCUUUCAUUAUGUGAGCCUUCACAUGCAAAAUGAUCCAUUCAGUUUUCAAAAUCUGUCAGAUAGGCCUGGAAGGUCUGCUAAAUUAGCCUGCCAUUGUAAUGAAAUAGGAAUCACAAUCUUACUAAUAAACCGAUCAAGUUUGGAAUCAUAUGGAGUUUGCCCAGCACAAUCACUACCAUUUUUGAACAUGGAGGAAUGUCACAACCCUAAAAAGCAGUAGCUAUAGCAGUAUGUAUUCAUAAAGUACAUGUAUUUUCAACAUGUUACAUGUAAACUGAAAAUUCACAGUUUCUUAUUCAUUUUAUCUAUCUUACUAUUGCUCUUUCACAACAAGCAACUGAAUUUUCAGUUGAUAUGUAACACAUUUCUACAAAAAUAAACUGCUGUUGCUCUUUAGGGAUUUAGACGUUCCUCCAUGUUGUGCUGGUCAAACUCCUUAUAUAUCCGACUGUAUGCUUCAGAACUUGAUUGGUUGAUUGGUAAGAUUGUUAUUCUAUUGCAUUAUAAUCGCAGGCCUUUUGCCAAUUCAGCAGACAUUACACACAUUCCAUGUCAUAGGUAUUUAUGGAAUAUUGAUAACUGAAUGAAUCAUUUUGCAUGCGAAGGCUCACACGAUGAAAGAAUGUUUAGAAGUUGUGAAGAGUUUAACAGUUUCACUGAGAAUCAACACGUCAGUUUUGAUCGACAAGCCAUGUGCAUUUAAAUAUUGUGCAAAUUGUAGACAAUUGUACUUAUUCUUUUGCACACGUGCCAAACCACAUGCAAAUUGCUUAAAUCAAUAAGAAUUCCAAGUCUGACCCCCUGCCCCUUUGAUCGCGAAAGUGAAAGUGCCCUUUGCGGACGCAUCGCGGUGCCCCCGUGUUCCCAUUUCCCCUCCCGCGGAACGCGAUUUCUACCGCGGGAGGACAAUCGACAUCGCCUACCUGUUCAUAGUAAACAGCGCUAUUUGUUUUGUUGUUAAUGACCGAAAAACGACUUCAGAUGAUUCAGUGACAGAGCGGUCCGAACGAAUUCAAAUCGUUUCAGAUCGUUAUGCAAGCGCGUUUGGCCAAUUCACGGAAAAGAAAGAAUCGAGACAAAAGAAUGAUUAAUUCAUGAAUGAUAGGUAUCGCUGGUUCAGUCGACAGAAAUACGGAACACACAUAAUAACUGCUGAAAUAUUCGCACGGAAAACGUUUCUCAGGUCAGUCGGAGGAGCGGGCAUGCUGCAUGGUACGAACAGUGCGUAUAUAGCCGUACAGCUGCAGGCGCCACUGCGGCCACCUAUCUAACCAAAUUUAGUCGCACCGCCAGGAAAAGAGGAGGAGCGAGAUUGGUGUGCCGCGGGCCGGAUGGAGAUGAUUGGAGGGCCAGAUUUGGCAGUUGACGAGCCCUGGUUUAAGGUAUUUGAGAAUUUCUUACUUCAACCUGUUAUAUUUUUCAUUCACAAAAUUAAAAGAAUAUUAAUAAUCUCAUUGUAUUUCAUUGUCCUUAAACAGAUCAUAAAACUCCAAUAACCCAAGGUCUAUGAUUUUUUUUUUUUUUUUUUUUGGCAAUAACAAAGAACUGAUUAAAAUAUGCCAAAACCCCCCAAAGGAUCUUCAUAAAACCUACAGGAGUUUUCAACCUCUUGCACUGUCAGAAACACAUAUUUGAUCUUAAAAGGUUCAGUUAACCUCUUUUAAAACUGCAUGGAGGAAUGUUGCUAUGCUUAAUGGUUGUAAUUAUUACAAAACAACUUAAAAGAUACAGCGUGUAAUCCUAAGGGAAGGCUUGGUGGUAGGUUAAAAACACUUCAUUUGGAUGUUUAUGCUUGUAUUUAAUUUAGAGGCAGUGUUUUUCUCUGACUCCACCACCAGAUCCCCCACUCCUGUAUCAUACUAUGUUCUCUGCUGGACGCUGCUGUUCAGUGUGUGUCCGGUGUGUGUUCUCCUCUCCUCACUCCUGUCCUCCAUCUGUGUGUACUGUGUCUGUCGGCCUCACAAUUACAAUCAUUGUGAAAAAACAUCCAGUUUAAUAACUGAAUGAUUAAAAUAAGGAGUAAUAAAGUUACAAAAAAUAUACCAAAGGGCAUAAUAUUAAACUGUUUAUUUGUUAUGAAUUUGUGAAAGUGCUGCAAUGUCUGUUUAAAAGCACAAGAAUACAAAGCAAAUGUAUGUUUAAAGUGUUUGUAUUUUAUCUACAUGACAGACUAUGCCAUCAUUUUGACAUUUUUCAGACUUUUCAUGUUUUUUAGGCUCCGAACUGAGUGCUGAGAUACUCAAAGCUAAUGUUCUUCAGGCAGAUUCUCUGGAGAAACAUCAGUGUGAGACGAGUAAAACUGGAAAGAUCUGCCUCCACACUGAAGUCUCUUAUAGACUGCUGACAUCUGAACAUCCCUAUGCCAAGAUGUGAUUCUUUCUGCUCAUUCAAACACUCUCAGCUGUUGCUUGUAGGCCUGUAUAGCUGCUUACGGCAUGCUUUUUGUACAUGCUUUUUGCACUAAUCACAAUAAAGCAUAGUUCAAGCAUGCUUUCAA